This 75-nucleotide transfer RNA is filed under the name Cordylochernes scorpioides. Its description in RNAcentral is "tRNA-Thr". The record is from RNAcentral. Lineage: Eukaryota; Metazoa; Arthropoda; Arachnida; Pseudoscorpiones; Chernetidae.
UGUCCAGGGAUGAGAAUCGAACCCACAAUGUUCCGCUUACCAGGCAGAUGCCAUGUCCACUAGGCUACCCCCGAC